RNAcentral lists this ribosomal RNA (305 nucleotides) under uncultured bacterium. Its description in RNAcentral is "bacterial SSU rRNA". It matches the Rfam family "Bacterial small subunit ribosomal RNA", at positions 335 to 636 of the family's 1533-position model. The record is from RNAcentral.
UCGCCUACGGGAGGCAGCAGUGAGGAAUAUUGGUCAAUGGGCGGAAGCCUGAACCAGCCAAGUCGCGUGAGGGAAGAAGGCCCUGCGGGUCGCAGACCUCUUUGGACGGGGAGCAAGGCCGCCGACGUGUCGGCGGAAGGAGAGUACCCGUAGAACAAGCAUCGGCUAACUCCGUGCCAGCAGCCGCGGUAAUACGUAGGGGGCAAGCGUUAUCCGGAUUCACUGGGUGUAAAGGGAGCGUAGACGGCGACGCAAGUCUGGAGUGAAAGCCCGGGGCCCAACCCCGGGACUGCUCUGGAAACUGC